GAUGAACGCUGGCGGCGUGCUUAACACAUGCAAGUCGAACGGAAAGGCCAGUGCUUGCACUGGUACUCGAGUGGCGAACGGGUGAGUAACACGUGGGUGAUCUGCCCUGCACUUCGGGAUAAGCCUGGGAAACUGGGUCUAAUACCGGAUAGGACAAUGGUUUGGAUGCCGUUGUGGAAAGUUUUUUCGGUGUGGGAUGAGCUCGCGGCCUAUCAGCUUGUUGGCGGGGUAAUGGCCUACCAAGGCGUCGACGGGUAGCCGGCCUGAGAGGGUGUACGGCCACAUUGGGACUGAGAUACGGCCCAGACUCCUACGGGAGGCAGCAGUGGGGAAUAUUGCACAAUGGGCGCAAGCCUGAUGCAGCGACGCCGCGUGGGGGAUGACGGCCUUCGGGUUGUAAACUCCUUUCGCUAGGGACGAAGCGUAUUUGUGACGGUACCUGGAGAAGAAGCACCGGCUAACUACGUG
RNAcentral lists this ribosomal RNA (468 nucleotides) under uncultured bacterium. RNAcentral's name for it is "partial 16S ribosomal RNA". It matches the Rfam family "Bacterial small subunit ribosomal RNA", at positions 28 to 507 of the family's 1533-position model. The record is from RNAcentral.